RNAcentral lists this long non-coding RNA (565 nucleotides) under Pan troglodytes (chimpanzee). Its description in RNAcentral is "lincRNA". Lineage: Eukaryota; Metazoa; Chordata; Mammalia; Primates; Hominidae. The record is from RNAcentral.
AUAGGGUCUCAUUCUGUCAGCCAGGCUGGAGUGCAGUGGCACUAUUAUAGCUCACUGCAGCCUCAAAUGCCUGGGCUCAGGCAGUCUUCCCACCUCUGCCUCCUGAGUAGAUGGGACUACAGGCAUGUGCCACCAAGCCCAGCUAAUUUUUCAGUUUUAAAUUUUUUGUAGAGAUGGGGGUCUUGCUAUGUCACCCAGGCUGGUCUUGAACACCUGGCCUCAAGUGAUCCUCCGGCCUCGCUCUGUCAAAGCUCUGGGAUUACAGACAUGAGCCACUGCACCUGGCUCUGUCUCCCCUUCCUAUGUGUGUUGGCUCUAGAACAAGAGAAGCCUUGUUGAGAUUCAUGGCUGCCCCUUGCACCCCAUCACCUCUCUGACUUUGGGCAAGUUGCCUGGUCUCUCUCAGCCUUUAUUUUCUUUUUGUGAAAUGGGGAUAAUAAUAGUACUUGCCUCAUAGGCAAAAUGUUGUGAGAACUAAAUGAGAAAAUACAUGUAAAGCUCUUGGCACUUAGGUCUUUUUAUGAUUAUGAUGAUAAUCACACAUAAUAAAUUAUUUCUCACAUCA